RNAcentral lists this ribosomal RNA (465 nucleotides) under Vreelandella stevensii. RNAcentral describes it as "partial 16S ribosomal RNA". It matches the Rfam family "Bacterial small subunit ribosomal RNA", at positions 338 to 795 of the family's 1533-position model. Lineage: Bacteria; Pseudomonadati; Pseudomonadota; Gammaproteobacteria; Oceanospirillales; Halomonadaceae. The record is from RNAcentral.
CCUACGGGUGGCAGCAGUGGGGAAUAUUGGACAAUGGGCGAAAGCCUGAUCCAGCCAUGCCGCGUGUGUGAAGAAGGCCUUCGGGUUGUAAAGCACUUUCAGUGGGGAAGAAAGCCUUGGGGCUAAUACCCUCGAGGAAGGACAUCACCCACAGAAGAAGCACCGGCUAACUCCGUGCCAGCAGCCGCGGUAAUACGGAGGGUGCGAGCGUUAAUCGGAAUUACUGGGCGUAAAGCGCGCGUAGGCGGUCUGAUAAGCCGGUUGUGAAAGCCCCGGGCUCAACCUGGGAACGGCAUCCGGAACUGUCAGGCUAGAGUGCAGGAGAGGAAGGUAGAAUUCCCGGUGUAGCGGUGAAAUGCGUAGAGAUCGGGAGGAAUACCAGUGGCGAAGGCGGCCUUCUGGAUUGACACUGACGCUGAGGUGCGAAAGCGUGGGUAGCAAACAGGAUUAGAUACCCUGGUAGUC